Molecule: ribosomal RNA, 253 nt
Filed under: uncultured bacterium
Lineage: Bacteria
Description: partial 16S ribosomal RNA
Rfam family: Bacterial small subunit ribosomal RNA
Source: RNAcentral
UACGUAGGGUGCGAGCGUUGUCCGGAAUUAUUGGGCGUAAAGAGCUCGUAGGCGGUCUGUCGCGUCGGCUGUGAAAACUCGGGGCUCAACCCCGAGCCUGCAGCCGAUACGGGCAGACUAGAGUUCGGCAGGGGAGACUGGAAUUCCUGGUGUAGCGGUGAAAUGCGUAGAGAUCAGGAAGAACACCGGUGGCGAAGGCGCUCUGCUAGGCCGCAACUGACACUGAGGGACGAAAGCUAGGGGAGCGAAUGGG